GUGCCAGCAGCCGCGGUAAUACGUAGGGUGCGAGCGUUAUCCGGAAUUACUGGGUGUAAAGGGUGCGUAGGCGGCUAUUUAAGUCAGAUGUGAAAACUCAGGGCUCAACCUUGAGGCUGCAUCUGAAACUGAGUAGCUAGAGUGUGGGAGAGGAAAGUGGAAUUCCGAGUGUAGCGGUGAAAUGCGUAGAGAUUCGGAGGAACACCAGUAGCGAAGGCGGCUUUCUGGACCAUAACUGACGCUGAGGCACGAAAGCGUGGGGAGCAAACAGGAUUAGAUACCCUAGUAGUCC
This 292-nucleotide ribosomal RNA is filed under the name uncultured bacterium. RNAcentral's name for it is "partial 16S ribosomal RNA". It matches the Rfam family "Bacterial small subunit ribosomal RNA", at positions 505 to 796 of the family's 1533-position model. The record is from RNAcentral.